UUGCUCUUCAAAGCUUCCUCGGAUCUGAGAGACUCGGAGACAGAGAGAGUGUAGGGAGCACAGGGAAGAUUCAAGAGAUGAGAAGGGGGGAAGGAGUAUGAGAGUUGUGGCCUUGCUGAUCUGCGAAGAUACAUUGACAAUUUCACAUCAAGAUCGAGCCCAUAUCCAGGUGCUUUUGUUCCCUGUGUUAACUCUUUUAGUCUCUUCUUUUUUGCAAAUUGUUUGGUGAGAUGUCUUCUAGAAAAUGUUUAUCUGGUAG
Molecule: long non-coding RNA, 259 nt
Filed under: Hordeum vulgare
Lineage: Eukaryota; Viridiplantae; Streptophyta; Magnoliopsida; Poales; Poaceae
Description: long non-coding RNA (HVUL_LNC008183)
Source: RNAcentral